This 527-nucleotide long non-coding RNA is filed under the name Homo sapiens (human). RNAcentral's name for it is "HSALNT0218893". The record is from RNAcentral. Lineage: Eukaryota; Metazoa; Chordata; Mammalia; Primates; Hominidae.
CGUGACAGCAGUGUCACUUCGCCCUUGAUCCUGCGGAACUGCCGGCUGGCCGGGUUGAUGGGGAUGCGCUUCACUGCGUAGCAGCAGCCGUCCAACUUGUUCUGCACCUGCGGCACAGCCAGGGGAAGGUCAGCCGCUCGGAGCCUUGCACAAACAGGCAUUUGCACCGCACCCCAUCCCCUCCCAAGGAAAGCGUGAAGUUCUAAAUGAGUCCCACAGCUACAGUCAAGAACCACAUGCCUGAAAUUCUUAAACUGAAGAAAGCUUUGACUGCCACAAAAUUCAGAAAACAGCCCACCCGACUCUAGAUAUAUUUAGCUUGCUGGGAGACCCUGGGGAAAACAUAAUCUCCAUUUUAAUAAUUAAUUUUACUGACAGUUACCUCCCUGCUUUUCCAAUGUAUCUGCUAUCUAAAUUUCUAAGUGUCUUGAUUUUAAGAUUAAAAAUUAUUUUCUAAAGUCAGUGUAAAGUUUCAGAUGAUUUUAGUUUCUCUCUGAUUUUUUUUUACACUUAAAGUCACUAAAAAC